AGGCUUGUAGCUCAGGUGGUUAGACGCACCCCUGAUAAGGGUGAGGUCGGUGGUUCAAGUCCACUCAGGCCUACCA
This 76-nucleotide transfer RNA is filed under the name Serratia marcescens. RNAcentral's name for it is "tRNA-Ile". It matches the Rfam family "tRNA". Rfam says of the family: Transfer RNA (tRNA) molecules are approximately 80 nucleotides in length. The record is from RNAcentral. Lineage: Bacteria; Pseudomonadati; Pseudomonadota; Gammaproteobacteria; Enterobacterales; Yersiniaceae.